This is a long non-coding RNA of Corapipo altera (White-ruffed manakin), 1945 nucleotides long. RefSeq lists it as uncharacterized. The record is from RefSeq and is a predicted model, not a curated record. Lineage: Eukaryota; Metazoa; Chordata; Aves; Passeriformes; Pipridae. The transcript is spliced from 2 exons.
CAAAUAAAAGCUUAAGUGAGGCCUGAAGCAAAGGUAACAUUGUAUACUAUUUUACAAACAUUAAAAUUUCAUUUUAUUUUCCAGCUGUGCCAACCCAUUGUUUUCAACAGAUGCAAGUAACUGUUAUGUAUCAAAUAAUAACCCACUCUUCCUCAGUUGUUCAAGGUUAAACAAACAAACAAAAAAAUGUCUUUUUCCUGUUAGCAAUAAUGCCUUCCGCUGAAGGUAGCACAUCCCCAAGCCUGCUCCCCCAGACCUCAUCCCUUGGCAAAGACUCAAAGCCUUUCCUGAGGCAAACAUGGGUCUGAAUGUACUGGGGUCUCUGGCUGGUGCUGGCCCUGGAAACCCACAUGUUGCAGCAAACCUUCAUGUUUGUUGCAACAUGAAGGAGAUGGGGGUCAUGAAGGCAGGGGCUUUCAUAUUUCCCAUAUGUCCAAUGCUGUGUAUCUUUUAUAGUUGGGGGGAUUUUCCAGGAAUGUGUCAUUUCAUCAUUAGCUUUCAAAGUAUUUAUUUGCAUGACCUUGGAAGGCAAUAAAACCACCUGAGAGGGUUAUCAUCAACUCCUCAUCCUUAGCUUAAUGCUCUCGGUAUGCUGUGAUGAAAUUGUGUGUUUUUCUGAUUGGACCCAUUGCAGAACUGCAUGAGAAGAUGCAUCCAUGUACUAAGGGCUGUACCUUAGUACGAAACGACCUUAGAGGAUUUCCAUCAGGGAUGUCAGUCUGCAUGCUUGGGGGGCCAUUUUUAUUCCCAGAGGUAUUUGGGAAUUUGGCUAAUGCAGCCACGGUAGUACAACAGCAUAUUGCUUUAAUAAAGGCAGCCAGCUCCCAGCUAUUUCUGCAUCCUCCUUCACAGCUCACCUACAGCAACACGCAGAACCUGACGGCUGCCAGUUGCAGCAAGGCCAGUUCCAUGGGCCAGAUCUCUCAGUCUAAAAUUGCCCUGCUCUAAAUAGAGGAGCCGGGCGAGAGAAGAACCAAGGCUGCGGCUUUCCCGGGGAGGAACCACAGUGCCGGCGCUACGUGACUUGCCCUGGACACCCAAGAAGCUCCUGUCAGCGCGCGGAGCUCCCACAUCCCGAGCCUGACCUCGUGUCGUGCGCUCGUCCCGUGCGUGCGAGCGCCCUAGAAGGCACUGCUUGUUUUUCUACCGUCUAUUCCAGAGAAAUCCAGCUGGCAGAGGAGCGCAGCGCCGUGAUUGAUUUGAGAACUCCCUCGUACUCGCCUGAAGGUCUCGCCGCCGGGGGAAGAAGGGGAGCGCGGGAGGCUGCGCUUCUCGGCGGCCGCUCCGCUCCCCGCCCGGCUCGGCACUCAGGUAUAGAGCGAAGAGGGGAGCGGGGAUUUCCUCGGCUUCCUCCCAUGCACAUACCUCCCGGGGAGCAGCGGCGGCAGCCCGACUCCCCUCGGCGGCCGCUGGGAGGCUCCGUGCCUCGCCCCGGCCUCCCGGGCGCCGCGUCCCCGGCCGCGCUCUCCCUCCGCCGGUGACACCCGCCUCCCGCCCCCGCAGCGCCCCGCUCCGCUCCGCUCCGCGCCGCACCGAGGGGCCGCGGGCAGCGCCAGCACCGGCAGCGCCGACAGCCCACCGGCAACCACCCACCCGCCGGGCCGGGCAUGGAAUUUACAAAAACACAAAGGAAAAGUGGCCGCUGGACUGUUCUGGGGGCAAAAUGCUGGAAGUUUUGGCUGGAUUAAGCAAAGGCGAAACGUGGUCUGGAAGUCCACUGACUGACAUUGUUCCGGACCGGGGAAUCCGUCUCUCUGAUUUUCAGAGGAACUACAGUUUAGCGGCAGCCAGCCGGACACAGUCACACGCCGGAGAGUGGCCAGGAACGAGCGGGCGAGAGAAACGAGAAAGCACAAAGACUAAACUAACCCGAGCCGCCUCCUCCUCCUCCUCCUUCCCCGGCUCUUUAUUUGCACAUUUACUAAAGACUUAAAAAAAAAAAAAA